Molecule: ribosomal RNA, 1167 nt
Filed under: Triticum aestivum (bread wheat)
Lineage: Eukaryota; Viridiplantae; Streptophyta; Magnoliopsida; Poales; Poaceae
Description: partial small subunit ribosomal RNA
Source: RNAcentral
AUGGCCGGCUCUGCGAUUGGGUUCGAGGGAUAUGAGAAGCGCCUGGAGAUCACUUUCUCUGAAGCGCCAGUCUUCACUGACCCCAAUGGCAGGGGAUUGCGUGCUCUCUCUCGUGCCCAGAUCGACUCGGUCCUUGAUCUUGCCAAGUGCACCAUUGUAUCUGAGCUCUCCAAUGAGAAGUUUGACUCGUAUGUCCUUUCUGAAUCAAGCCUCUUUGUGUAUCCGUACAAGGUUGUGAUCAAGACCUGCGGUACCACCAAGCUCCUGCUGGCCAUUCCAAGGGUUCUUGAGCUUGCUGAGGAGCUGUCCCUGCCACUUGCUGCUGUGAAGUACUCCCGUGGGACGUUCAUAUUCCCUGAAGCACAGCCUUCUCCACACAAGAACUUCUCUGACGAGGUUGCCUUCCUGAAUGGCUACUUUGGUGGACUCAAGUCUGGCGGCAAUGCCUAUGUCAUUGGUGAUCCUGCAAAGCCAGGCCAGAAGUGGCAUGUCUACUAUGCCACCCAGCAGCCUGAGCAGCCUGUGGUUAACCUUGAGAUGUGCAUGACUGGUCUGGACAAGAAGAAAGCUUCUGUCUUCUUCAAGACCUCUGCUGAUGGCCACACAUCUUGCGCCAAGGAGAUGACCAAGCUCUCUGGCAUCUCUGACAUAAUCCCAGAGAUGGAGAUCUGCGACUUUGAUUUCGAGCCAUGUGGCUACUCCAUGAACGCCAUCCAUGGCUCUGCUUUCUCCACCAUUCAUGUCACCCCCGAGGACGGCUUCAGCUAUGCUAGCUAUGAGGUCAUGGGGUUGGACCCUGCCUCCGUGGCCUAUGGUGACCUGGUCGAGAGGGUGCUGAGAUCCUUUGGCCCGUCUGAAUUCUCUGUUGCUGUGACCAUCUUUGGCGGCCCCAGCCUUGCUGGCACCUGGGGCGAGAGGCUGAAUGUUGGGGUCUAUGAUAGUACCAACAUGGUCGUCCAGGAGCUGCCUGGCGGGGGCUCGCUCAUCUACCAGAGCUUCACUGCUGUCGGUGAAGACUCCACUGGGUCGCCAAGAUCUGUCCUGAAUUGCUAUGUUGAUGGCAAUUUAGAGAGCGGCUCCAAGAUGGAUGCUUUCCUUUGCUGGGAAGACGAUGCUGCGCAGGAGAAGGAUGAGAGGGGGGCUGGUAAGAAGAUGAAGAGCUCUUGA